GUGGGGCAAGCCUGAUUUUUAUUUAAAAUUUUCAAAAGCUUUAUACUUUAAUUGAUCACAUGUUAGUUCAACAAAAUACGAUGAGCUUCCCAAAAUCUAACCCCUUUCUGCAUACUUUCUUUACCUCUGACAAGGUUAUAUGGCCACCUCACCUCACUUCACCUCCCGUGCACCUGGGGGAAUCCACUCAGUAGUGCCCUGGUUUUGGAAUCAGAUUAGCGCAAAUAUGCUGCUGUGGCAACUGUGGAAUGAACAGGCCAAUACUGAAAAUCUCCUCAAGAAAGGGCCAUAGGUGAUUUGGGGAACCUGGAAACUCUGCCUGUGCUUGUUAACAACAAAUACCGCCUUCUGAGGGAUAUAAGGCUUCUAAAUC
Long non-coding RNA from Prionailurus viverrinus (fishing cat), 373 nucleotides. RefSeq lists it as uncharacterized. Lineage: Eukaryota; Metazoa; Chordata; Mammalia; Carnivora; Felidae. The record is from RefSeq and is a predicted model, not a curated record. The transcript is spliced from 3 exons.